This 221-nucleotide ribosomal RNA is filed under the name uncultured bacterium. RNAcentral's name for it is "partial 16S ribosomal RNA". It matches the Rfam family "Bacterial small subunit ribosomal RNA", at positions 1281 to 1500 of the family's 1533-position model. The record is from RNAcentral.
GAUAGUCUCAGUUCGGAUUGUGGGCUGCAAACCCGCCCACAUGAAGUCGGAGUUGCUAGUAAUCCCGAAUCAGCAUGUCGGGGUGAAUGCGUUCCCGGGCCUUGUACACACCGCCCGUCACGCCAUGGGAGCUGGUAAUACCCAAAGUCGGUGCACCAACCGCAAGGAGGAAGCCGCCUAAGGUAGGAUCAGUGACUGGGGUGAAGUCGUAACAAGGUAGC